RNAcentral lists this ribosomal RNA (823 nucleotides) under uncultured bacterium. RNAcentral's name for it is "bacterial SSU rRNA". It matches the Rfam family "Bacterial small subunit ribosomal RNA", at positions 713 to 1528 of the family's 1533-position model. The record is from RNAcentral.
AGGCGAAAGCGGGGCACUGGGUCCGCACUGACGCUGAGACGCGAAAGCGUAGGGAGCGAACGGGAUUAGAUACCCCGGUAGUCUACGCCGUAAACGAUGCGCACUAGACUUCUGCCCCUCUGACGGGGCGGGAGUCGAAAAGAAACCGAUAAGUGCGCCGCCUGGGGAGUACGGCCGCAAGGCUAAAACUCAAAGGAAUUGACGGGGGCUCACACAAGCGGUGGAGGAUGUGGCUUAAUUCGAAGCAACGCGCAGAACCUUACCCGGGUUUGACAUGCUAGAAUUAGCUCCGUGAGAGCGGAGUGACGCGGCUUGCCGUGGAACUAGCACAGGUGCUGCAUGGCUGUCGUCAGCUCGUGUCGUGGGAUGUCGGGUUAAGUCCCUGAACGAGCGAAACCCUUAUCGUUAGUUGCCAGCGCGUUAUGGCGGGCACUUUAGCGAGACUGCCGGUGUUAAACCGGAGGAAGGUGGGGAUGACGUCAAGUCCUCAUGGCCUUUAUGUCCGGGGUUGCACACGUCCUACAAUGGGAAGGUACAGAGCGACGCGAGACCGCGAGGUGGAGCAAAUCGCACAAAACUUCCCUCAGUUCGGAUUGCAGGCUGCAACUCGCCUGCAUGAAGCUGGAAUCGCUAGUAAUCGCGUAUCAGCUACGACGCGGUGAAUAUGUUCCUGAGCCUUGUACACACCGCCCGUCAAGUCAUGGAAGCUGGUAGUACCCGAAGUCCGUUAGCUAACUUCGGAGGCGGCGGCCGACGGUAAGACCGGUGACUGGGACUAAGUCGUAACAAGGUAGCCGUAGGGGAACCUGCGGCUGGAUCACCU